GGGGGAUUAGCUCAAUCGGCAGAGCAGGCCGCUCAUAACGGCCCGGUUCCGGGUUCAAGUCCCCGAUCCCCCACCA
RNAcentral lists this transfer RNA (76 nucleotides) under Caudoviricetes sp. RNAcentral's name for it is "tRNA-Met". It matches the Rfam family "tRNA". From Rfam's summary of the family: Transfer RNA (tRNA) molecules are approximately 80 nucleotides in length. Their secondary structure includes four short double-helical elements and three loops (D, anti-codon, and T loops). The record is from RNAcentral. Lineage: Duplodnaviria; Heunggongvirae; Uroviricota; Caudoviricetes.